AUUGAACGCUGGCGGCAUGCUUUACACAUGCCAGUCGAACGGCAGCGCGGGCUUCGGCCUGGCGGCGAGUGGCGAACGGGUGAGUAAUGCAUCGGAACGUGCCCAGUAGUGGGGGAUAGCCCGGCGAAAGCCGGAUUAAUACCGUAUACGACCUGAGGGUGAAAGCGGGGGACCGAAAGGCCUCGCGCUAUUGGAGCGGCCGAUGUCGGAUUAGCUAGUUUGUGGGGUAAAGGCUUACCAAGGCGACGAUCCGUAGCUGGUCUGAGAGGACGACCAGCCACACUGGGACUGAGACACGGCCCAGACUCCUACGGGAGGCAGCAGUGGGGAAUUUUGGACAAUGGGGGCAACCCUGAUCCAGCCAUGCCGCGUGCGGGAAGAAGGCCUUCGGGUUGUAAACCGCUUUUGUUCGGGAAGAAAUCCUCUGGGCUAAUACCCCGGGGGGAUGACGGUACCGGAAGAAUAAGCACCGGCUAACUACGUG
This 484-nucleotide ribosomal RNA is filed under the name uncultured bacterium. RNAcentral's name for it is "partial 16S ribosomal RNA". It matches the Rfam family "Bacterial small subunit ribosomal RNA", at positions 28 to 507 of the family's 1533-position model. The record is from RNAcentral.